This is a non-coding RNA of Ornithorhynchus anatinus (platypus), 139 nucleotides long. The record is from Rfam. Lineage: Eukaryota; Metazoa; Chordata; Mammalia; Monotremata; Ornithorhynchidae.
CCUCUCUUAGGGUUGCAUCUGGAGAGUUUCCAGUACUCUAACCAGUCUUGGCUACCGGAGGGAGAGUCAAGCAGAUGCCUACCCAUUCUAUUCCUAGCUUGGGCAGCAGUUAGUGAGCAGAAGGCACUCUGCUACAAGU